UUAACUUUGCCAAUGGAACAACUUGACAGACUCAAAAAGGUUAAUGUUCCAAGAUUGAUGGCCCUGAAGUGACUUUUAGAGCGUAUAAUUCCUCAAGUCCAGAUAGAAUCUUAUAACACAUUCUUGUGGGUUUAAAGGAGAAAUGCCUCUAGGCCGGAGGGGUGGUUCAGCAGUUAAGAGCCUGUACUGCUUUUGCACAAGAGCCGUUAUGGAACUCCAGUUCCAGGGGAUCUGACACUCUCUUCUGGCUUCCACAGACCCCUGCACUCAUGUACACACACACACACACACACACACAGACUCUCACACUAAAAAUAAAAGCACAAUCUUUAAAAGGAAGAAAUGUUUCAAAAGACUGGGAAGGAAUUCAUUCACAGAGAGGACUCAAGGGGACUGCGCAAGCCGACAGAUGUGUGCAUGGGAGGGGAACAUGCGGGCACACACUUGUAUACUCAAAAAAACACACUCGGGUGUGCAAAUGAUCAGAGUCUGCAUGCUCAGCUGUUCUCACAGGCCCUGCAGCUACCUGCAGUCAGACAACGAGGGAUCCCUUUGAUCAUGGAGGUGAGCUCAGCACAGAGACGGUGACACUGACUGAAGACGCAACACGAGAACCUUCCACUCAAACGGCCUAGACCUGAACCUUACGUCUACCACAUAAGAUAUAAAUGAUGGGGAAGUGCAUUGCCUUCCAGGGCACCACAGGCCUGGAACACAACAUGUGAAUCUUCAUUGCCAUCUUAACAGGAUCUGCAGUCACCUAGUAGAGACACCGUUGGGAGUGGCUAAGGGAGUUUCCAGAGAGGUUUAAUGGUGGAGAAAGGAAAACCCACCCUGGAUGUGAGUGGCAAUCCUGACCAUGGGUGUCAUGUGACCGCAGCCCGCUUGCUUCUGCCGUCACACCUUCCCCACCGGGAUGGACUGCACCUUUAAACGGAGAGCCAACCCGAACCCUUCCUCCCUCAAGUGGCUUUCCCUGGCUAUUUUGUCACAGAAGCCAGAAAAAGUAACUAAUGGAUGCAGGGAUAGGUGGCGUGUCUGUCCACACGAACCUGAGAGCUUCGUGUGCACCUCUCAUCAUUCCCCGCUACCCAGAACCUGGGCCAGUCUCUCCUCCAGCUCUCAUCAGCAAUAGAAAUGUCCUUCUCUUGCUGUGUCUUGACCUGCAGUCCAGCCAGGCCAUUAUUGUCCUUUUAUUAUUUAUUUCUUACUUAUUUCUUCACUUUUAUUUUACUUUUCAAGAAAGGAUUUCUCUGUGUAGCCUUGGCUGUCCUGGGCUCACUUUGUAGAGCAGGCUAGCCUCAAACUCACAGAAAUCCAAAUGCCUCUGCCUCCCAGAGUGCUGGGAUUACAAGCCUGGGCCACUGUACCCAGCUUGGGCCAUCAUUUUCUUAUCCCACAGUAGAACAGAAAACCUGCCAAUGUCCUGCACAGCCCUUAGCUGGAGCCUACAUAGGCCAUUUUUGCCUGAUACCCAUUUCUACGCAUGAGUUAUGCCAGGCUUGUCUUUGGCCUCUUGGCUAAGACACAGCAGCAAUGCAAUCUAAAACCACUCUGCUUUCCCCCAAAUGUCAGGUUCUUUUAAUGCACCAUAAUUCAAUGGGAAAGUUUCAGGCUCGCUGCUUAAAUAUUCUCACCAACUGUGGGUUGACUUUAGACCUUUAAGAUCUGCUGAUAGAAGCUGCCUUUAGGAACCCCAGUUCUUAGGUUCCCUCUUUCUGAGUCUUUCCCCUCCCCCACUCCCUGUUCUUCUCUGAUCCAAUCUUUAUCCUUUCUUUCUUUGGGUUUAAGGCAAAGCUCUAGCCCUGCCCCUUGCUACUCAGCCAGCUAAAUCUUUGAUGUACACAGUGGAAUUUCUGUCUGUCUCAUCAAUACAAGGCCUCACAGGGGUUCCCUGGGCCCUUACUUUAGCUCUUGAUAGCCUCAAGGUGGUGGUAUCCUUGGAGAAGAUGUAUGGCUACAUAGAGGAGGUUUGUGUACCUGUGUCAAAGACCAUCCAAAUAUCUGAUGUGCCUGGCCAGGGGAGGCAGCAGACCCAGCUACCCCUGCCCCUCCUGUGCUUCUGUGAUCUUUGCCAUGUGUGGGUUCCUGGCUUCCUACUCUUCUUGUCCUCCACAAAAAGAAAGAGCAAGAAGGUCUGGAUCCAUGUGAGUCGGGGACCCUCCACCUGAGGGACUGGAAACGGAACGCGUGCUUUGAUUUUUUUUUUCCAGUGUCAGCUCUUAAGUUUUCCAAGAGAGUACAAAAGUUCUUUUGCAGAAACAACAAGUGUGUGCAUAACAGCAAGGAGAGGCAAACCAAGGAGACCAACACCAGAAGGCCUGCUAACGCUCCCAUGCCCGCCCAUUCCUUCAGAUGAUUCAUGGCUGCAGCAAUCCAUGGUGAUAAUCCUGUGGCUAGUCCUGCGUCCACUCUGGUAGAAUUUACUGUGACAAUGGCCACUCUCAGCUGCUCCAUCGUAGUAUCGAAUUCUCCAGUCCAAUUACCUAAAAUAUAGCUCGACAAUUGUUUAGACAGAUUUGCAGCACAGGGAAAAUUCUCAUGUUGUAUGCUAGUGACUCAAAGUCCAGCAUACUUUCAUUGACAGCCCAGUUGAGCGAUUUGCCAUAGGGUAUCAAUUUGCUCCUGCCAUUGAAGCAGGACAGUCUCCCCAAGCAUGGUUGGCUACCAUAAAAAGCUAAAAUGUUACGCUCAGGAUGCGAGGCUAAGCACUGCACUCAGGGUCAACCGCUUUGGACCCAGAGAAGAGCAUGUCUGAUUGCAUGCCGGUUGAUGCCCCAGGUCCCGCCUCUGAGAAAAAGGUAUCGGUCGGGUCUGAUGCUCUUUGGGUGGAUGACACCUAAAUGAACAUCAGUACAAAGUCCCAAUUUAUUUCUAAUAUCAGAGAUCAGACCUCUACUCUUGCCUGAUGUGUCUAAAACAAAAAGGGGGAACUGCAGAGAGCUGCGUAAUGCCGCGCCUUAAAGAUGGAGCUGGUUUCCGCCUUCCACCUUCCCGAUGGUGAGUGCUCUCUGUCACGAACAACUCCACAUUUGGCUAAGGCUGAGGAUCUGGCUUGCUUCCAUGUAUGUGGACCUAUCUGCAUUGCCCACGUGGCAUGCUAGGGUUGGCUACCCAGAGGCUAUUUAAGCUGUGGGCUGGCUUUCCCCAGGGUCAGAUGAUUGUUCAAGGUUCCUGAAUAAACUGCAUUGAAAAAAAAAAAAAAAAAAAAAAAAAGAAUGAUGACCUGGAAGUGAGGCAUGGAAGGCUUUGGGUAGGUGGAGGCAGAGAAUGAGUGAGCCAUGUUCAAGAGCAAGGGAGCCACACUUCUUGGGGUUGAAUCCUGCCACUGGCCUGUAGAAACUAUGGGUUUUGGAGCCUCAAUUUCCCCAUCUGUUCCAUGAAAGUGUGAUUAUACCCACUGUUCAAGUUUUGGAAAUGUUGAACGAUGGAAGGGUUUAGUCAGAGAGCCUGACGCUUAACUUAGGAGGGCAUCCAUGCACAAGAGCCUGUCAGAGCUGGGACCUGAGGCUUGGGCUGCCGACAGUCAUGGUGUAAGCGUGGCAUUCCUGAUAAUUUUAAUGACACCAAUUCUAUCUGCCCACCGAAAACUAUGUGACAUCAGACAUCAUCGCCAGUGUCCACUUGUGGCUGUUUGGCAUGUUCUGGGGGGGGGAACACGGGGAGACAGUUUGCUGUUUCUUGGUACUUCCAAGGCUCCAGAUUGCUCUCAAGAUGAACCACCUCACUGAAAAGAAUGGCUAAUGUCUUUGUAUCACCUUACUCUAUCAGUUCAGAACCUGCUGAUGAGAUAGAGAAGGUGUCUUCCUCUAGACAGGACCUGGAACCCCAGAGAAAUUACACAAAUUAGCAAAAAUACCCAGAGAGGAGUAAUCUGUCUGGUAUUUACUGUGAAACUUGAGACAUUGGUGAUGAAAUCAAUAUUCUGUUUAACAACA
This is a long non-coding RNA of Meriones unguiculatus (Mongolian gerbil), 3938 nucleotides long. RefSeq lists it as uncharacterized. The record is from RefSeq and is a predicted model, not a curated record. Lineage: Eukaryota; Metazoa; Chordata; Mammalia; Rodentia; Muridae. The transcript is spliced from 2 exons.